UACGGAGGGUGCAAGCGUUAAUCGGAAUUACUGGGCGUAAAGCGUGCGCAGGCGGUUUGGUAAGUCCGCUGUGAAAUCCCCGAGCUCAACUUGGGAAUUGCAGUGGAUACUGGCAAGCUGGAGUAUGGUAGAGGAAGGUGGAAUUCCCGGUGUAGCAGUGAAAUGCGUAGAGAUCGGGAGGAACACCAGUGGCGAAGGCGGCCUUCUGGACCAAUACUGACGCUCAUGCACGAAAGCGUGGGGAGCAAACAGG
RNAcentral lists this ribosomal RNA (253 nucleotides) under uncultured bacterium. RNAcentral describes it as "partial 16S ribosomal RNA". It matches the Rfam family "Bacterial small subunit ribosomal RNA", at positions 524 to 776 of the family's 1533-position model. The record is from RNAcentral.